GCCUGACAGACCGGUUCAGUUUUGAUUGGAUGUAGAAUGCUGUGCAAAUAAACCUACAUUUUGAAGAUAAUCUGGCACCUUUGAUGUCUGCCGCCAUUUAGUGGCAUCAACAGAAAUUACAGUCGAUUCGUCUUAAUGCAUGAAACAGAAAGAUGUGUGUUUAACGGGCCGGAAUAGAAAGCUCAGUGGGCUGCAUCUGGCCCACAGGCCGUAGUUUGCCGAGGUUUGCAAUAGACAAAAGCACCUGCAACAACUAGCUAAUGUUGAAAAUUAAACAAAAUAGGGAAACAGACAAAAACUAAUAUAUAUAAAGCAAUAGAAGUAAAAAAAAAACCCCAGUAGUGCAGUGUGAUGAUGUAUGGAUGUUUACCCUCCGGUACGUCUGUGAUGAUGAGUAGCAGACACAGACUGACGCACUAUGAUAAUGUCCAGUGAACUUCCUCCUGGACAUCAAACCCAACUGAAGUCUGGUUUGAUCACAAUUUCUUUAAAAGAUUCAGUUCAUUCCAACAAAAUCCAUUAUUCCAUUUCUUGGCUGUAAACAUUUGAAGCGUUCUCAGCCCCAAUCAUCUGGAACCAUGUUGUUACCAUCUGGCCACUUGGUCAAUAAUCUGUUACGUUCGGCCUCAUUUGCUUUCACUUUGCUGUGUCACCCGCAGUUCAGGAUGAGGGAGCGCUGAGGUGAGGACACAUCUGGAUUAAUCAUUAGUCCAGCAAAUGUGUGUUUGUGUGCAUGUAUGUUAGUGUGUGUUUGUGCGUGCCUAAAUGUACUAAAGAGUAAUCAUGUGUGUGAUUGGUAAAGGCAGAAAACAAAGUUUCCCUCAGAGUGUCACUAAGACGCUGAAACAAUAACCAAGGAAAAGAAAGGAAGGAAACCACGGACUGAGAGCUGCCACAAAGCGUAUUCACUACUUUUUGAAUCAACACGGAACUACACCACAAGUUCAACGAACCUGAAAACAGAGGCACCUGUGACAGUGUAGCUGCUGUCAAUCCCAGCACAGAUGCCACAGUAUCUUCUGCAGGAUGCCGGGGUCACCACCUCCCGUCGGUGCCACAUUUGUCUUCUCUGUACAUCAACUCCAUCAACUCUUCCCAGGACAUUCCUCUCCUACUCCCAAAUUCCCAAACGGGUCAUGCUCAACAACGUGGAAACAGCCGGAUCACGAGCUUCACCAGGGAACAUCUCCACAUACCUUCGACAUGUCUGCGCAGGAGUGUGUGUGUAGGUUCAACUGUGUGUGUGUGUGUGUAGGUUCAACUGUGUGUGUGUGUGUGUGUAUAGAAUACGUGGCAAUGUGUAAUAAAAUUAUGUGUGUGUGUGUGUGAGUCAUGGUGGAUUUGACAAAGUAAUGAUGGCUUACAAGGAAGUCCACAGUCUUACAUGAUGUAGCCACACACACACACACACACACACACACACACACACGUAUUUAAACAAG
Molecule: long non-coding RNA, 1442 nt
Organism: Cynoglossus semilaevis (tongue sole)
Lineage: Eukaryota; Metazoa; Chordata; Actinopteri; Pleuronectiformes; Cynoglossidae
Exons: 2
Source: RefSeq, a predicted model, not a curated record